Molecule: ribosomal RNA, 513 nt
Filed under: uncultured bacterium
Lineage: Bacteria
Description: bacterial SSU rRNA
Rfam family: Bacterial small subunit ribosomal RNA
Source: RNAcentral
CUGGCGGCGUGCCUAAUACAUGCAAGUCGAACGCACUCUCGUUUAGAUUGAAGGAGCUUGCUCCUGAUUGAUAAACAUUUGAGUGAGUGGCGGACGGGUGAGUAACACGUGGGUAACCUGCCCUAAAGUGGGGGAUAACAUUUGGAAACAGAUGCUAAUACCGCAUAAAACCUAUCACCGCAUGGUGUAGGGUUGAAAGAUGGUUUCGGCUAUCACUUUAGGAUGGACCCGCGGUGCAUUAGUUAGUUGGUGAGGUAAAAGGCUCACCAAGACCGUGAUGCAUAGCCGACCUGAGAGGGUAAUCGGCCACACUGGGACUGAGACACGGCCCAGACUCCUACGGGAGGCAGCAGUAGGGAAUCUUCCACAAUGGACGAAAGUCUGAUGGAGCAACGCCGCGUGAGUGAAGAAGGUUUUCGGAUCGUAAAACUCUGUUGUUGGAGAAGAAUGUAUCUGAUAGUAACUGAUCAGGUAGUGACGGUAUCCAACCAGAAAGCCACGGCUAACUACGUG